This 515-nucleotide ribosomal RNA is filed under the name uncultured bacterium. RNAcentral's name for it is "partial 16S ribosomal RNA". It matches the Rfam family "Bacterial small subunit ribosomal RNA", at positions 899 to 1397 of the family's 1533-position model. The record is from RNAcentral.
ACUCAAAUGAAUAGACGGGGACUUGCACAAGCGGUGGAUUAUGCGGUUCAAUUCGAUGACAAACGAAAAACCUUACCAAGGCUAGAAAUCCAGACGACGAAUAGCAGAAACGUUAUUCUUUCGCAAGGACGGCUGGACAGGUGAUGCAUGGCCGUCGUCAGUUCGUGAUUUGAAUUGUUCCCUUAAGUGGGGUAACGAACGCAACCCUUGUUGCCUGUUAUAUAUGUCAGGCGAGACUGCCCAGCACUCUGAAGAUAACUUUGUUGUCUGUAGAGUGCUGGGAGGAAGCGAGGAUGACGCCAGGUCAGCAUGUCCCUCUGACGCCUUGGGCCACACGCAUAAUACAAUCGCCGAGACAACGGGUCGCGACGUCGUAAGACUGAGCCAAUCCUUUAAACUCGGCGCCAGUUCGGAUUGAGGGCUGCAACUCGACCUCAUGAAGUUGGAAUCGCUAGUAAUCGCGGGUCAGCUAUACCGCGGUGAAUACGUUCUCAAGUCUUGUACACACCGCCCGU